RNAcentral lists this ribosomal RNA (400 nucleotides) under phytoplankton environmental sample. RNAcentral's name for it is "partial small subunit ribosomal RNA". It matches the Rfam family "Eukaryotic small subunit ribosomal RNA", at positions 587 to 993 of the family's 1831-position model. The record is from RNAcentral.
AGCUCCAAUAGCGUAUAUUAAAGUUGUUGCAGUUAAAAAGCUCGUAGUUGGAUUUCGGAACGGGCCAGUCGGUCCGCCGCAAGGUGUGUUACUGGCUGGUCUGUUCUUCUUCGCAAAGACUGCGUGUGCUCUUUACUGAGUGUGCGUAGGACUUGCGACGUUUACUUUGAAAAAAUUAGAGUGUUCAAAGCAGGCUUGAGCUUGAAUACAUGAGCAUGGAAUAAUGGAAUAGGACUUUGGUCCUAUUUUGUUGGUUUCUGGGACCGAAGUAAUGAUUAAGAGGGACAAUUGGGGGCAUCCGUAUUUCGUUGUCAGAGGUGAAAUUCUUGGAUUUACGAAAGACGAACAACUGCGAAAGCACUUGCCAAGAGUGUUUUCAUUAAUCAAGAACGAAAGUAGG